This 223-nucleotide long non-coding RNA is filed under the name Mytilus galloprovincialis (Mediterranean mussel). The record is from RNAcentral. Lineage: Eukaryota; Metazoa; Mollusca; Bivalvia; Mytilida; Mytilidae.
UACGAUUGGUUGUAGUUGUGCAUGUUUAAAACCGGAAAACCUAUCUAUGACCAAAAGUCAGUCUGGUGACGGAAUCAAUAUCCGGACACCCUUUUUGUCGUUUUUCUCCCAAAAUAACUCAAUCUGAAUAAUCAUAAGAAUGGAUGACAAAUGCGACUAUGCAUGUUACCUAUAGGACACAGAGGCAUGAUGAUUAAUUUAUUGUGGAAGGAAGAGAAGCGAC